GGGCACUACUGCAGGGAACAAAGACACACCGACACAUCUGUAUCCGAGCUGGGACUGAGGACACUCACCAGCCACUUUAUUAGACUUUGGAACGUUCUUAUAACUUUAAGAUUUGCGGAUGGAUGAAGCUGCCUUCUUUUGUGCCAAUUACUGCCACCGUUUCCCUUUACGAUGUGACUCCAUGACACGUAUGCUUCUGAUGAUAGUGCUUCUGAUGAGUACAGACGCUGAAGCUCUCCGGGUGAUUGGUGGAAAUGUGAAAGUGGUUCAAGGAGGUACCGCUAUGUUAUCGUGUUAUGUCAUGGAUACCAAUGAUGACCUGACACAGAUUACCUGGCAGAGGAGGACGAGAGAAAAACCUCACAAUGACAAUUUUCUAACUAUCCUACCCAGAGAUGGACCACAGUUUGUCAGUGAACGUGAUGAUCGAUUUAAAUAUAUUGGGAAUUUUA
Non-coding RNA from Maylandia zebra (zebra mbuna), 452 nucleotides. The record is from RefSeq and is a predicted model, not a curated record. NCBI's taxonomy places the organism in Eukaryota, Metazoa, Chordata, Actinopteri, Cichliformes, Cichlidae.